GACGAACGCUGGCGGCGUGCUUAACACAUGCAAGUCGAACGCGCCUGUCCUCUGGGUUUCUGGGGGGUGGGUGAGUGGCGAACGGGUGAGUAACACGUGAGUAACCUGCCCCCUUCUUCGGGAUAACGGUCUGAAAGGGCUGCUAAUACCGGGUAUUCACUGGUCUCCGCAUGGGGUCUGGUGGAAAGGGUUUUUUCUGGUGGGGGAUGGGCUCGCGGCCUAUCAGCUUGUUGGUGGGGUGAUGGCCCACCAAGGCUUUGACGGGUAGCCGGCCUGAGAGGGUGACCGGUCACAUUGGGACUGAGAUACGGCCCAGACUCCUACGGGAGGCAGCAGUGGGGAAUAUUGCACAAUGGGCGAAAGCCUGAUGCAGCGACGCCGCGUGAGGGAUGGAGGCCUCCGGGUUGUGAACCUCUUUCGCCCGUGGUCAAGCCGCGACGUGGGUCGUGGUGAGGGAUGUGGGAAAGAAGCG
This 472-nucleotide ribosomal RNA is filed under the name Actinomyces sp. oral taxon 178. RNAcentral's name for it is "bacterial SSU rRNA". It matches the Rfam family "Bacterial small subunit ribosomal RNA", at positions 28 to 492 of the family's 1533-position model. The record is from RNAcentral. Lineage: Bacteria; Bacillati; Actinomycetota; Actinomycetes; Actinomycetales; Actinomycetaceae.